UGCAGUCGAGGGGUAUAAGUCUUCGGACUUAGAGACCGGCGCACGGGUGCGUAACGCGUAUGCAAUCUACCUUUCACAGAGGGAUAGCCCAGAGAAAUUUGGAUUAAUACCUCAUAGUAUUAUGGAAUGGCAUCAUUUUAUAAUUAAAGUCACAACGGUGAAAGAUGAGCAUGCGUCCCAUUAGCUAGUUGGUAAGGUAACGGCUUACCAAGGCUACGAUGGGUAGGGGUCCUGAGAGGGAGAUCCCCCACACUGGUACUGAGACACGGACCAGACUCCUACGGGAGGCAGCAGUGAGGAAUAUUGGACAAUGGGCGCAAGCCUGAUCCAGCCAUGCCGCGUGCAGGAUGACGGUCCUAUGGAUUGUAAACUGCUUUUGCACAGGAAGAAACACUGAUUCGUGAAUCAGCUUGACGGUACUGUGAGAAUAAGGAUCGGCUAACUCCGUGCCAGCAGCCGCGGUAAUACGGAGGAUCCAAGCGUUAUCCGGAAUCAUUGGGUUUAAAGGGUCCGUAGGCGGUCUAGUAAGUCAGUGGUGAAAGCCCAUCGCUCAACGGUGGAACGGCCAUUGAUACUGCUGGACUUGAAUUACUGGGAAGUAACUAGAAUAUGUAGUGUAGCGGUGAAAUGCUUAGAGAUUACAUGGAAUACCAAUUGCGAAGGCAGGUUACUACCGGUGGAUUGACGCUGAUGGACGAAAGCGUGGGUAGCGAACAGGAUUAGAUACCCUGGUAGUCCACGCCGUAAACGAU
This 752-nucleotide ribosomal RNA is filed under the name Flavobacterium sp. RNAcentral's name for it is "bacterial SSU rRNA". It matches the Rfam family "Bacterial small subunit ribosomal RNA", at positions 56 to 810 of the family's 1533-position model. The record is from RNAcentral. Lineage: Bacteria; Pseudomonadati; Bacteroidota; Flavobacteriia; Flavobacteriales; Flavobacteriaceae.